UCUGCCCCUGGAGGUAAUGCAUGUGUGCCUGCUGUGUCACAUGUGUGUCAGUAGAUGGCAAAGAGGAGAGAGGCUCAGUGUUCUGACCUAAGAACAUCUGAAUGAUUAGGAGCCUUCUACC
Small nucleolar RNA from Rattus norvegicus (Norway rat), 121 nucleotides. Ensembl annotates it as small nucleolar RNA SNORA17. NCBI's taxonomy places the organism in Eukaryota, Metazoa, Chordata, Mammalia, Rodentia, Muridae. The record is from Ensembl.